AAUCUAUCAAUACACACACCGUGAACUUACAUCUGUCUGGCCUCUCAAAGGGGUAAAAGCCUUUGAGGCGUCUCGGUCUGGAUUAACUUCCAGACGGAGUCGGGCCCUUCUUCUACACUCCGGUGUGGUCGAAGGGUUGGUCUGUCUAACCAUCAACACCAAACCAAACCAAACUAAAGUGAACAUGUAGCGGCCUAGCCGAUACAUUUAAACCAAGACAACUCUCAACAACGGAUAUCUUGGCUCUCGCAACGAUGAAGAACGCAGCGAAAUGCGAUACGUAGUGUGAAUUGCAGAAUUCCGUGAAUCAUCAAAUCUUUGAACGCAUAUUGCACUCGAGGCUUCGGCCAAGAGUACGUUUGCCUCAGCGUCGGGUUAAUAUCACUCCCCCCACUCACCCUCCGGGUGAAUGAUUCGAGUGGACCUGGCCGUCUCAGUAUGCAUACUUCGGUAUCAGACUGGGUCGGCUGAAGUGCAGAGGUAAUGCAAGGACCCUUAUGGGCCGCAACUGGGUAGGCUUUCUCACGAUUGCUCUUAGUUGUUGGCUUGGGCUUUGAUUGUUACCCACAAACAGGAACCUUAACCCUUAUUUCUCGACCUGAGCUCAAGCGAGGACMCCCGCUGAACUUAA
This 631-nucleotide ribosomal RNA is filed under the name Chlorophyceae sp. F104U3A2. RNAcentral's name for it is "eukaryotic LSU rRNA". The record is from RNAcentral. Lineage: Eukaryota; Viridiplantae; Chlorophyta; Chlorophyceae.